GCCCCCAUUCUCUCUCCUCUACUCGUUCUCUUUCUACCCUCGUCAGACCAAAGAAACCCCAAAAUUCACAGAGCUCUCCUAUGAAUGCAAAAGAUUGAUACUAGACUGUUGCCGGUCAUUCCUCUUCUCCAUUACCUCGUUCCCCAUCACUCUUGAAUUCUUACCUCAAAUGAGAAAAACAUGAGAAAAUAUAUAUAUAUUUUUUCUCCCAAUCAGAUAUUGGAAAUCAAGUAACCAUUUAAGAUUUCAGAGUGAAAAUUUUAGUGGAAAUCAAGUAACCAUUCAAGAUUUCAGAGUGAAAAUUUUAGUGGCAACCCAUAAAAAAAAAAUAAAUAAAUAAAUAAAAAAUCAACAAUUUCAAGCAGGUUGGGAAUUCACCAUUAAAUCAAGAAAGCCCCAGUACAAGCAAAACAGAAACAUAUUUGUACAAACACCAAUUAUAUAUAUAUCACACACAUAAUAACUACAGGAUAUGGGUAUUAAAAAAAGCCAAAAAAUCUUUAAUACAUAUGUCUGAUCCAGAUCCUUGAUAAUUUGAAUUGGACUAGGGCUUGAUUCGGAGAGAGAGAUUUCGUGUCCACCCACCACCUAAAACGAUAUAUAUAUAUAUAUAUAAAAGCAGCCCUACACGAAACCUGCAUAACCUAAGCAGGAAGGAAGGAUCAGGAAGAAGCCAUUAAUCGAAGGGAGGAAGGAUCAGGAGUAAUUUUGCAUCGCUAAACCUGCAUAACCUAAGCAAUUAUUAAUCCUUUGCAUCGCUAAACCUGCAUAACCUAAGCAAUUAUUAACCCUAAAAAGGAAAGCGAAGAAGCCAUUAAUCGAAGGAAGGAAGGAUCAGGAGUAAUUUUGCAUCUAUAUAUAUAUAUA
This is a long non-coding RNA of Cornus florida, 867 nucleotides long. RefSeq lists it as uncharacterized. The transcript is spliced from 2 exons. NCBI's taxonomy places the organism in Eukaryota, Viridiplantae, Streptophyta, Magnoliopsida, Cornales, Cornaceae. The record is from RefSeq and is a predicted model, not a curated record.